AAAUUAUUCAUCUCCCCUGACCUCUUAAAGUUCAAGACUCAGGCACAAACAUCCUCAUCUUAGCAGGACAAGCUAAUUCAUUUGCAUGCAGAGCAACAAUAAGAAUACUCCUAAUAUACCACGGGACAUCACACUGGAAAAACACUGCAACCAACGCGUUCUCUCUAGUGGCAAAAUCGAAAUUUUUUGAACUUGCACGACAUAUAAACAAGAACUACAUGAUACACAAUUUUCCAUCAUGCACCUGCUAUCCUGAACAUAAAUGAAAUGAGAGAAGGGUAUCCUGAACAUCUAAAUAAGAACUUGCAAUUUUUUCCAUCAUGCACCCAGAGGUUCUGCCUUCUCCCCCGGCCCUGAAACAAGAGCACCAUCAAUUUAGUUUUAAACAAAUUGAAAGUUCGAACAUGAGGCAUGUAGAUAUUCAAAUGAUGAAAGUCACAGACGUGAGCUGUUUUUGUUUUACUUAAAAUAAUUCAACAUGAAGGAGGACAUACAAGCAUAAUGGAAAUCUGCAGAACUAACAUGAUGUAUACUGAUACAUAGUACUGAUGCUUUGGGAAUUUUCGAACUGAGAAAAGAAGUGUAGGCGGCUCGAGCGUCAAGAGGAGAAAACAUGGGCUCACCGAGGAAGGUGGUAGACAAAUGACAACAACAUUAGUUCUAGAUCGAGACAGUAGCAGGAGAAGGUCCUUUUGAGGCCCGGCUUGCCGACAUGCUUCAGUUCGGGCUGGAUUCAUCAAAGAUGUCAAGAUUAUAAGCACUGUAAGAACAACCAAGAUUGAGAGAAUACACUGAGCACCAUGUCUAAUUCUUAUGUUAGUGGUUGGUCCGAUAAAAUUACGAGGUCAAUGCUUCCAUAGAAGUAACAAGACGCAAGCUUUAAUUAGUUCCUAGGUUAGAAAUUUGUAAAUACUAGUACUGCUACCAGCAUUUACAAAUACUAGUGAACUUGAACUUGUGGUCUAUCGAGAUCUUAACUGAUUGUGUUACAAGCACUAACACAAAAUCUAAUAAACCUAGAGAUUAUAUAUUGGUGAACUUUUUCUUCCUAUAGAACCGUUAAUCAAAUAAAUGUAGUGUUCACUAGGUUUUAGCAACAUGAUAAGUAGUAGCAAUACUACUCUAGGUGGCAAAGUAGUAGCACCACAAAGGAAGGCCACCAUCAACAGUGCGUACUACCGCGACACCUAAAGUAUGUGUUGGC
Molecule: long non-coding RNA, 1204 nt
Filed under: Triticum aestivum (bread wheat)
Lineage: Eukaryota; Viridiplantae; Streptophyta; Magnoliopsida; Poales; Poaceae
Description: long non-coding RNA (TAES_LNC010062)
Source: RNAcentral